ACGUCUCAUUCGAAUAGAAGCCACCAUUUCAGACACCGCUUUCGUAUUGCCUCAGCGAGUAAUAAUCAUGAACAGUUUGGAUUCCUCAUUUUGUUACGCUGUUCAUUACUAUUUCAUCGGCUGUAGUAUGACCGAACAUUGGGACUUGUACCAAACAGAUCCCAUAACACGGUGUAAAGACGUGACUGGUGAGAUCGCAACAGGGCAUCGCAUAGCAGAACCCCUGGAUAGUGACAACAUUCAGAACCCAGUUAUUCAAGAUAAGAUAAUACAAGCUGCCCUGAAAAAGUCCCGCAGUGAAGCAAAUAGCCAUCAUGGUAAGAGCACCUAACCAAUAAGAUGGACUGACUUGUACUGUAUAGCUACAUGGUGGUUAUGUCUACCCACUACCCUCACCGGGAUGCAUUCAUGAAUCACGUGCCACAGCGACAGUAUCAUAUUGGCGUCUACCAUUUGAUUAGAUAUUAUUUCAGUUUGCAAGCUAUAACGUGUGUAGAUUUGGAUUGAAACAAUAUGGACGUGUUAUCACGUGAUGUCAAAUACAAAGACCUGUUAAAAGAUUAUCUACUGUGUCUUCAGUACAAUUAUUAAGAUGACGUCAUAAGUCCAGUCGAUUCGCCCAUUUAUUGGUCUAUGACCUAGUACAUGAAUUAUUAUAAAGAUAAUGUGCAUCUAUACUAUUAAAGCAUGGCGAUAUU
Saccoglossus kowalevskii is the source of this 698-nucleotide long non-coding RNA. RefSeq lists it as uncharacterized. The record is from RefSeq and is a predicted model, not a curated record. Lineage: Eukaryota; Metazoa; Hemichordata; Enteropneusta; Harrimaniidae.